RNAcentral lists this ribosomal RNA (245 nucleotides) under uncultured Lachnospiraceae bacterium. Its description in RNAcentral is "partial 16S ribosomal RNA". It matches the Rfam family "Bacterial small subunit ribosomal RNA", at positions 524 to 768 of the family's 1533-position model. The record is from RNAcentral. Lineage: Bacteria; Bacillati; Bacillota; Clostridia; Lachnospirales; Lachnospiraceae.
UACGUAGGGGGCAAGCGUUAUCCGGAUUUACUGGGUGUAAAGGGAGCGUAGGCGGCCACGCAAGUCAGAAGUGAAAGCCCGGGGCUUAACCCCGGGACUGCUUUUGAAACUGCGCGGCUCGAGUACAGGAGAGGCAGGCGGAAUUCCUAGUGUAGCGGUGAAAUGCGUAGAUAUUAGGAAGAACACCGGUGGCGAAGGCGGCCUGCUGGACUGAGACUGACGCUGAGGCUCGAAAGCGUGGGGAG